GGGAGUAUAGCCAAAAGGUAAGGCAAAGGACUGCAACUCCUUGAUUAUCAGUUCAACCCUGAUUACUCCCUCCA
This 74-nucleotide transfer RNA is filed under the name Oscillospiraceae bacterium. Its description in RNAcentral is "tRNA-Cys". It matches the Rfam family "tRNA". Rfam says of the family: Transfer RNA (tRNA) molecules are approximately 80 nucleotides in length. The record is from RNAcentral. Lineage: Bacteria; Bacillati; Bacillota; Clostridia; Eubacteriales; Oscillospiraceae.